This 6730-nucleotide long non-coding RNA is filed under the name Olea europaea (common olive). RNAcentral's name for it is "long non-coding RNA (OEUR_LNC004112)". Lineage: Eukaryota; Viridiplantae; Streptophyta; Magnoliopsida; Lamiales; Oleaceae. The record is from RNAcentral.
ACAUAACAUUAUCUAAAUUGGUGUUAUUAAACUAUUUUAAAAGCGACAAAAUAAAGCUUAACUUCCAAAUUUGAAAUGCUGUGGAGGACUUAGUAAAAAAUAUUUUUGGCGUAUCCAGUGGAAGAUCAGAUGGUCCCAUGUCAAUAAAUCAUAUGAUAACUCCAUCAACCAAGUUGAUGGAAGUCUGGACAGCUGAAGAGGUCUCGUUUUUUGGUGUGCUUGAGCAAAUUGGUUUUAUGGAAUUAUUGGAAAAGGUUUGACCUUGAGACUGGGCAUGCAGAGCCAAUGAACAAAAUUUGAUUCAACGAUUACUUGACAAUGCUUUGAACAAUGCUGGAUUGGAUAUUCCAAGCAAUCGAGGAUAUGAAUUAUUCUAUCAUUGUUCAUUUGUAGUAGACGCCUAUGACUACAUUGAAAUAGUAAGAACGGUCAAUAGGGACUUUCACGAGGGUUAUAAUUCGAAGUCACCUUCUUCUUUUAGUGGUUAUGACUUCAAUGAUGACUCGUGCAAAUUUAUCUCUAGACACAUGAAAGAUUAGGAUAAUUUAAGAUUUAUCUAAAUUUUACUCGAUCUUAUCACGUAUUUCCUCCAUCUUUUGGAAAAAGUAUUGUUUUAUUUAUUUAUUAUUAUUAUUAUUAUUUUUUACUUGAGGUUAGAUCUAGUCCCUUUCUAAGUUGUACCAUGUUCUCUUUCCAUUAAUAAAAAAUUAAGCCACACAAGUUCCACAUUUUUAUUUUUUUUAAAAUUUUAUUUUAUUGUACAUGUUCCAUAAUUAUGGGGAAAAAAUCACAAUGCAUCAAGAAGAAGAAAUAACCCUUUUAUUUUUCCUAUUGCUACUGAUUAUUUCAUACAAAUAAUUGAAAACAAAUUUAAUGUAAAUUAUAAUCUUGAAAUUAUCCUUGCAAUUAUCUUCCCUAGAAUUAAAUCCUUUGAGAAAACUUCAAUAGGAAAUCGAGAAACGUUUUAAUCAUGAUAUUACGAUGGACCGUACUUCUUGUACACGGGCGUGUGUACUUAGUGCCCAGAUGUGGGACCUCGCCCCAUGUGAGGGGGAGAGGUGGGCUCGUGUACACAGGCGUGUAAACGCCCGUGUAGAAAAGGCUUUAUCCUAUUACGAUACACAAUUUCACAUCCUUGUGCCACCCCCACAUGCAUGCUCCGAUGCUCGCAUGCACCCCCACAAACACAAAGGCAGAGAGAAUACCCACAAAAUAAUAUAAAUUUGUUCUUUCUAACCGUUGGUCCGAGAAAUUAUAAGAACCCUAUGGAGUAUAUUUGAUAAAUCUUACCUCUUGGGACAUCAUUAUUCUUGAUUUAAAUCUUUAGCAAGUUUUAAAAGGCCUAAACACUUGAAAGGUUUUGAUAUACGUCUUUUUAUAAGCAAGCAUGUCUCGCUCGCUAGUUGAAACGAUAAAUUCACUUUUUGUCUGUAUAUAUACAUACUUAUUCACAUAAAUCUAAUCGUGAAAGUAGAUAAUACUAAGAACAUAACUUAUAUAAGGUAAUUAUGCAAGUCCUUUGUAAGUUAAAAACUUCUAAUCGUCCACAGAAAUAAUUAUUUUCUAAAAUUUUAGGGAACUCAAAUAUCGUGAAAAAAAUAAUUACUUCCCUCAAUAACCAUUUAUUCAAAGUAUAAGGACACCAGCGCUAAUUUUCUCAAACUAGUCCUAACAUUCUACAGUAGCAUCAAAAAUGCAAAUUAAAGAACAAAAAAGCCGCAAUCCCUGUUUCACUUUCCCAUUUGCUGCGCAUAAUGUUCAAAGCACUAGCACACUAAUUUAUUGAAAGCAGCUCAAGGAAGUGAACUGAGACAGUGAGAAAUCUAAAGAUUAAGCUGAAAAAUGGGUGUUUCUAUUCCUGUUCUUGUAAUUAUAAUAUCCCUUCACGCCAUUGCCUUCGUACUCGCCGUUGGUGCUGAACGACGGCGUAGCACGGUAGUCUAGUUUAUUGCUUUUUGAUUUAUUAUUUCUUUGUUUUUUAGUCAAUUUUAGAUUUUUUCGAUAGGAGUAAAUUUUUCUGUGGGUUUGUGUUGAAAGGCAACUGUGGUGCCGGACAAGUAUGAUGAGCAGACAUACUGUUUGUACGGCACCGACGCAUCGACGGCGUACGGUUUGACGGCGUUUGGGCUGCUAUUGAUUAGCCAGACGGUGGUUAACGGCGUCACCAGGUGCUUGUGUUUUGGCAGAGGGAUGAUGGCUGGGGGCUCUAAAACUUGUGCCAUUUUCUUCUUCAUUUUCUCAUGGUAAUGUUUGAAUUUACUAUAUUGUCCUUGUCAGUUCAGUUUAUUUACCAUUUGUUCCUCUUUUUUUUCUACUGCUUAUAUAUUUUUUUUUUUUUUUUUUUUCUACUGCUUAUAUGUUACGUGAACUGGGUUCAAUAAUAUGAGUGGGACAGUUGGGUCCCAUACAGUUGUUUUGCAUUGUCUUGCUUGUCAUUAGAUGAUGACAAAUAGGAACGCUGUAGUAAUUAAUUUGCCACUUAUGUUUAGUUUCUUGUUUUUAUGCUUGUUGUUCCUUUUUUUUUUUUUUACAAGGUGUCCCGGCUUGCGUCCGACUAGAUCCUUGUUCCACCAACUCGGACAUGUGAUGUUAUGUGGGAUUGAUUUUGCUGUUAUAUGGCUCAUUUAAGACUUUUCAUCUGAAUUAUGUGGGACUAAUGAAAGUCACUUCUGAUGUCUGUACUUGUUCUUUGGAUUCCAUUUGUUCUUUCUGCCUCAAACUGGAAAAAUAGAGGUCACUGAAGGAGUAUUAAUUAAGGACACAUGCACGUUCGAGGAAAGCUAUAACUUAUAAUUUGAAACCAAUCAAAGCAGAAUGUGACUCUAGGAACUACAGGAGUCAUCUAAGAGACAAAAAUCUUUGUACAGGUUGUAAUUGUUGCAUCAUCACUCCAUUUCUGAGUUCCUUGUAGAGGUUAUUACAUCUUGCGAAAAGGUGAUACAUGCUACUGACAUAUGCAUUGCAUGGUUGAACUCAAACUAUUUGUUAAUAAUUUAAUCCAAGAACACGGGAAGUUUAGUUUUUAGUUAUUUUACCUUUCAUCCUUGGCUCCUUUUUAUGACCCUCCUAUUUUCUUCUGCAAACUGGUUGUUAGACCUUCUUCUACGACAUGAUGCUGGACUUUGGAAAAUAAUAAGAAAGUGCUUCACAUGUUUGAGGAAUGAGCAUUGAGUUGCAGUCAAUGUUCGAGUAAAUCUUCAUUUAUUAUUAUUAUUAUUAUGCAGGAUCAAUAAAAUCAUUAUCAAAACCUAGUGUCUUUUUUUUUGGUAUAUGUUUAUGUAAUAUGUUAGUUACUCUCUAUUACAUCAGUUCUUUUAGUAGAUGUAGCCGUGGAUUAAACAAAGUUGCUUACUCCAAAUUUAUUAGGAAAAAGACUUGGAUUUUUUUAUUAUGUUCUUUCCAUCACUCCUUCAGGGGGUCUGUUUGGUUGAGACAAAUGAGAGAGGAACAAAGAAAAUAAAUACUGGAAAAUAAGAAAUUUAGAGGAGCAAAGUUUUUAUUAUUUAUUUUUAUUUUAUUUUAUUUUUAUUCUUUUUUUUUUUUUAAUUUUUUUUAAAAUUUUUUUUGCUUUGCACUAGUUUGAGAAGAAAGUGGGAGAAAAGUUGGAUUAGAGAAGAAAGCUGUUAUAUUCUAUUUCAUUUCUUUUAAACUAUAUCAUGAAAGCCAAGAAAGGAAGGGAACGCUUUCACACUUCAAUUAUAAUAUGCAUUAAAGAAGAUGCUAAUACUUGGACAGCCAAAAAUGGUAUUUUUAUCUGUCAGACCCAUGUCGUGGGAUUGAUGAAGACAUGGUCAUUGCAUUGCUACCUAACUCUUUAACGGAUGCAAAAUGAACUAGGUGGACUUUUUGCAACACAUAUCAAGCUUGAUACUGGGGAUUUAUCUAUGAAGCUUGACAUCACAAUAAAAUUUCUUCGACUAACUUUUUUGAUCUUUGAACUCAGUUCUUUCAAUCUUGUCUGAGAUUCAGCUUCUACUUAAGGCUGGUUGAUCCUAAAAAUUAUUAAUUUUAUUGUCAGCUCUUUCCUCAUCUGCAAAACAGAGCACUGUCCAAUAUUAAAAAGUGUCUUUCUGUGAAAGGAAUAAAAUUGAUUCAUGCGACAUUGCUAUCUGUGGUGAGCCUCGGUAGAUUUAAUAAAUUUGUAAAACAAAAUGUAUCAGACAAGUUCCAAAAUCCUAGUGAUGGCCUUGUAUUUAAUAUGCCCUGAAGAGAAUCACCUAAUUGUCAAGUAUCCAAGUGACCAAGAAAUUCCUAAAUUAUUUUAAGUUAGAGACCUGAAUAAAACUAUUGCUAUUCCAUAAAUUAGAAUAAAUCAUUUACUCUUAAAAUUUAACAGAAUGUAAUCAAUCCUAUUGCUUUGUGUUCUGCAUCAGUGCAUUUUUUACGAUUCUAUAUUUUCGAGGGGAGGGAAAGGAUGGAAGUCGGUGGCUAGGGUAGGAGAAAAGGGAAUCAUUUGCUCUAGUCACUGUCAAUCAUUUACAUCUGGAUUUGGAUAGACUUGCACAUGCAGACGAUGAAACUAGUCUAAUGUUUUGGUGAUUUUGUAUUCUUCUGCCACCCAAUCCCAUAUACACUACAUACUGAGUUGGUCGAUUAGCAGUAAUGGCUCAUAAAUCUGGAAAACUCAUCACAGAUUCAGAAAGUUCAUGCAUUAGCUCUAUAUUUUGACCUGUUCCAUGAUCUGCCCAUGUUGAUAUACUUCAAUUCUUUCAUUUUAUUAAACCGUGUAAACACGCUGAAUUCUUUACAUUCACUUGCAACGACAUUCAUAAAAUCACCAGGGUUAGCUUUUUGGGAGCAGAGGCGUGCUUAUUGGCAGGAUCAGCAAGGAAUGCUUAUCAUACCAAAUACCGUGCAAGUUUUCACAUCGAGCACUUAUCAUGUACAACUCUCCGGAAAGGUGUAUUUGCAGCUGGUGCUACUCUAACAUUAUUAUCAAUGAUGGGUUCUAUCCUGUACUACUGGUCCCAUUCCAAGGCUGAUACGGGUGGAUGGGAAAAGCAUAACAACGAAGGUGUUGGAAUGACCACUUCAAGUUUUGCAGAAAAUCAGCAGCAUCAAAAGAGCAGUGGAUUUUAAAGAGUUGACUGGGUUCAAUGAGAUUUGUGGAGUGGGUAUGAAAUUUUACUGAUAUGAAGAGGUCCUUACUCAGCUAUGUAUGUACUGCUUUUGAAAAGCAAAAGUCAGUGUAUUGUAUUGGUUGUUUCCUUUUAACAUUUGUUCUGUUAAUUUUGGUGUCUUAAAUUUUUGUUCAAAUCCGUGCAACUGUUUGGUUUAAGGUAACAGUUCAUUAACCCAAGGCGAGUAUUUCAACGACAGAGGACGCAUCAGGCGAGAACGGAUUAACUGAUAGAACAGUCAAGUUUACGUUAAAGGCAGUCAUUCAAUCUUAUUAUACUAAUUAUACUAUUAAUCAAAUUUGUUUGUGUCGAUCUUAAAAUUCACAUUGGAUCACUUGGAGGUUCACACCAUGAUUUUGUAAUGACACGUCGAUCCAAGACCCAAAAAUUCAUGUCGAUCCACUGGAGACGCCAUUUUUAAUGACAUGAUUGAAAAGGUGCUCUCUUGGGCAACACUAUCCAUAACAACCAAUCAAAGGAAAGUCAUGAUGAUCCAUCACAAUCGAACUCUUCAGUCAAUAAAAUCUUUUCAAAAGGACAACGGCACAAACCUAGGUCGAACACUUUGACUUGACAUAACCAAGACGACAAGCUCGAGUAUCAAUGACCUAUAUAAAGGGUGAAGGUCCAACAAGAAACGCCGAAUGGAUCAACAAAAUUAAGCCCAAAAGGUUUCAUUUAGGUUACAGAGUUGAUGUUCUUAGACUAUCAACGUGCCACAUGCAUAUGUAUAGACUUUUUAUGUGUCUUAAAAAAGUCACCGUUAUUCGUAAAAUUAUCCAUUCAUAAACAUGUCCUUAAACAUGGAAUGCUCAUUACGUCUUCUCAAAACCUUUCAUUUAGGAAAAUCUUCAAGAAAAUAAUCCAGUUACUACUUUCCUACAUUAAUCCAUUGAAUUAUAUUUAUUAACGCUUUUAGAAAAUAGGAAUUCACAAAGAUUAACAUAAGCAGAUUUGGUGUGAAUUAGAAUGGAUAAAAUCAGAAGUGGGAGAAAUUAGCUACAUUGUUGAAGAAAUUUCGAUGGUCGGACAAAAAAUAUCAUGUAAUAAUUAGUAUAUAAAAGAACAAAAUUGAUAUUUUAAGAUGAAAACUUGAGACUCGAUAUGGUAUGGGAAUUCAGAAAGCUCAAAGGAACAGUUCAAACUAAAAACUCGAGCUUCGAAUCGAAUUUCAAGAUUGAUAUUUUUUCAACGACGAACUACCUUCUUGUAGGGUAUAUAUGUUAUGGGUCGUCGAAACGGAAACCGAUAUUUUUUAACCAUUAUAUGGUUUUCAUUACAAUAAUCAUACCAAAGUUACAAACACAAAACAGUACAUUAAGAAGCUAAAAUUUCACUUUGACAUUACAUACUCAUACUCUCCAUACACGCAUUCCAUAGUUGCCUAAUUACUAAUAUUAAUAAUUAAAGAAAACAUUAAUUACUCAUAUUAUAUAGAUAACUUAUACCACGAGAUGACAAUACAUCAACUGAUAUAAUGCGACUGAAUUUAAUUAGCAACUAGGAACGGAGAGCCACUUUUAGCGAGAGAAUUUAACAUCUGGGAAAUGGAGUGCCACAGGUGCUGGCAACUUUCCUGGCAUUGGGAGAGUUAAUGAACAUUAGAAGAG